UACUAGCUAUGUCAUUAUAACGAAGAAAAAUCCACUCCUCUCAACAAAAAAAAGUAUUUUACAACUCAAGGGCCAACGUUACUGCCGAAUGAACAAAGGGACUUAAACGGCCUGGAGGAGACGAGAACUGGAGCUCAUGGAACAAACAUUUGAUAACUAUCAAAUCAACUAGUAGUACUAGCUUCACUGACUUCUUCUACAUGCCAGACCAAGCUACCCCGGAAGGAGAGCCAAGAUGGAAGCUAAGCUAACCCAGCUAGGACCUAAGGCCAAUCCACUACCCAGCCUCCUCCUGGCUGUCUGAUGUGCAGUCACAGAAAAAUAAGAUGGACGAAAUAAGACAUCAGGCGAACCCAGCAGCCGGAGUUUGGUGACUGUUGAGCCUGCAUAUUUACAGAGACCUGGCACCAUUGUGCCAUUCCGUAUUAAGCUGCAGUUGAAAGGGGGAGUGCAGGACUCCAGUGGGACGAGAGGAGGUGGACUCUAUAUUUACAUCAUGAGGCUUGGUGCUCAAGUUGAUGUACAAUAGUAAUGAGAAAGGCCCAAUGAUCCUGAUGUGGAAUUGUUUAAGAUAUUAGCCAUAUUAUCUGCCAGAAUUGUUUUUGUUGCUGCGGUUUACAUUACUUAUGAUGCAAAUUAAAAACGUGCUCUACAGGAAUGAACUUCUGUUUUGUUUGUGAUGUUUUUCCUUAUGUUCCAAAUGGCCUACAACUGAAUUUCAUUGUGCAUUCCUGUUA
This is a long non-coding RNA of Anoplopoma fimbria (sablefish), 737 nucleotides long. RefSeq lists it as uncharacterized. The record is from RefSeq and is a predicted model, not a curated record. NCBI's taxonomy places the organism in Eukaryota, Metazoa, Chordata, Actinopteri, Perciformes, Anoplopomatidae. The transcript has 3 exons.